CGCGCACCUCUCAACUGGAGUAAGAUGGCGGAUCUUUUGGUGAACAGGCAGGCUGAACAUUUUCUUCUUUUAUCAAGUCAUCCUUACUUUAGGAGCCACUUUGAGCUCUCUUUUUGUUUCAUCACACUCUUUUUAUUUCUCCUGCCUAUUCUCACCCUUUGGCAAUUCCCGUUUUGGUAAAUUUUGCUUCCAGGAGCCAGGGCGCUUGCCCCUCCAUUGCUAUGAAGACAGAAGUGUAUUCACCUGAGUCCUAUAACUAAUGUCUAUCAUCAGAGUUAGUCUCAGUUCAUCAGGACAAGGAUUGGUCUUCGUUCACAUCUAAGAAUCACUCCGAGGAUCAUAAGUGUGCUGUAAUAGCUGUGCAUCAAGUAACUAGCUCUUAAUAGUGACGUCUAGUAUGAAGUAAAACGCUACCAUCAUUGCAUGAUUUUUAAUGUUAAUAUAAAUGUUAAUUACAACAGUUGUCUUUGUUAACGGCCAGACAGUUUAAAAUUAUCGUGUAUGUAUUAUGUAUAAUACU
Long non-coding RNA from Amphimedon queenslandica, 520 nucleotides. RefSeq lists it as uncharacterized. The transcript has 3 exons. The record is from RefSeq and is a predicted model, not a curated record. NCBI's taxonomy places the organism in Eukaryota, Metazoa, Porifera, Demospongiae, Haplosclerida, Niphatidae.